RNAcentral lists this ribosomal RNA (496 nucleotides) under uncultured bacterium. Its description in RNAcentral is "partial 16S ribosomal RNA". It matches the Rfam family "Bacterial small subunit ribosomal RNA", at positions 28 to 506 of the family's 1533-position model. The record is from RNAcentral.
GAUGAACGCUGGCGGCGUGCCUAAUACAUGCAAGUCGAGCGAACAGACGAGGAGCUUGCUCCUCUGACGUUAGCGGCGGACGGGUGAGUAACACGUGGAUAACCUACCUAUAAGACUGGGAUAACUUCGGGAAACCGGAGCUAAUACCGGAUAAUAUAUUGAACCGCAUGGUUCAAUAGUGAAAGACGGUUUUGCUGUCACUUAUAGAUGGAUCCGCGCCGCAUUAGCUAGUUGGUAAGGUAACGGCUUACCAAGGCAACGAUGCGUAGCCGACCUGAGAGGGUGAUCGGCCACACGGGAACUGAGACACGGUCCAGACUCCUACGGGAGGCAGCAGUAGGGAAUCUUCCGCAAUGGGCGAAAGCCUGACGGAGCAACGCCGCGUGAGUGAUGAAGGUCUUCGGAUCGUAAAACUCUGUUAUUAGGGAAGAACAAAUGUGUAAGUAACUAUGCACGUCUUGACGGGACCUAAUCAGAAAGCCACGGCUAACUACGU